RNAcentral lists this long non-coding RNA (1194 nucleotides) under Oryctolagus cuniculus (rabbit). Its description in RNAcentral is "lncRNA (ENSOCUG00000032340.1)". The record is from RNAcentral. Lineage: Eukaryota; Metazoa; Chordata; Mammalia; Lagomorpha; Leporidae.
GAAAAGCUUUCUUACCUGCAGCAUACCGGAGAUCAACACUGGCCCUCUAUCCAAGCCUGGAGCCAAGACAGCUGUCACCCACUUUUUUGACACUGCCUGGCCACUUCCGGUGCCGCUGGGAGGAAGAGGCGGGUCCUAGAUGGAUGGCGCUUGUGCAGUCAGUCUGGUGGAUAUAGAGCCGACGGUGGCAGCAUGUUGUCGGCUGCUAGAGUUGUCGGCUUCCGGCGGCGUUUUCGGCAGCGGUACUGGCCUGGAGAGUGCGGGAACGAAGACAUUUUCAUGGAUAUGAAACUGGAUGCAGUUGAAGUUCAUCUGCUGGGUAAUCUUCCAUUUCUGGGGACUGCUUGACUUCCUGCUAAACACAGCUGGGACUUCUUCCUGGAGAGGAGCAACUGCUCCAUGCCAAUGUGUGUCCUGUGGCCAGUGAGGAGUGCGCCUGUGCCUGGCGCUUUGACCCAGAAGUGCACCCGCAGGCGCCGCCACUUCUGCCCUCGAUGCACUGGUGGGAGUCAGCGCCGUGUCCGCUCCUGCCCAGAGCCUUGAGGAGCCGCCUUCAACGCUGGUGGCUGAACCUGAGGAGACCCAGGGCCCUGCAGACUCAGGCUGGGAUCAGACUGCACACACAGAGGAGAAAGCAGAAGCUUAGAGAAAUGCCAAGAAUCCCUCAGUGCCCUGUUCCAGCCUGCCCCAAGAUUCUGACACCUCACAGCUGCACACACGAAGGAGAAAGCAGAAGCUUAGAGAAAUGCCAAGAAUCCCUCUGUGCUGUGUUCCAGGCUGUCCCAAGAUUCUGACACCUCAUAGUAAGUACUAGAUAUUUUUUUCUAUUUAAAUACUGGUUUGAAAGGCAGAAUUAUAGAUGAGGAGGUGUGGGAGAGAUCUUCGUGUAUGGGUUCACCCCCCAGGUGACUACAUUACCAGGGCUGGGCCAGGCGGGAGCAGAAGCCAGGUACUUUAUCCAGUACUCCAGAGUGGGUUCAGGGGCCCAAGUUCUUGGGGUGCAUCCUCUGCUUUCCUAGGCAUUUCAGCAUACAUCUGGAUCACAAGUGGGAACAGCCUGCGGGUGGGGGUGGGGUGGCCGACAGAACAGUGGCAUAGUGGAUGAAGCUGCCGCCUGUAGUACCAGCAUCCCAUAUGGGUGUCUUCCUUCUCUAUGAUACUUUUCUUCUCAUUCCCCCAGCAAACUAAGUAUCC